GGAUAUACGCCCAUGGACUGAGAACCGGCCCAGACUCUACGGAGGCAGCAAUUGGGAAUUUGGAACAUGGGGCACCUGAAUCCAGGCCAUGCGCUGGCGGGAAGAAGCUUCGAGUUGUAAACCGCUUUUAGCGGGAAGAAAAGGCAGGGGCUACACUCUCUGUUCUGACGGUACGGCGGAAUAAGCACCGGCUAACUACGUGCCAGCAGCGCGGUAAUACGUAGGGUGCGAGCGUAAUCGGAAUUACUGGGCGUAAAGCGUGCGCAGGCGGUUCGUUAAGUCUGAUGUGAAAGCCCCGGGCUCAACCUGGGAAUGGCAUUGGAUACUGGCGGGCUUGAGUGUGGCAGAGGGGGGUGGAAUUCCGCGUGUAGCAGUGAAAUGCGUAGAGAUGCGGAGGAACACCGAUGGCGAAGGCAGCCCCCUGGGCUGACACUGACGCUCAGGCACGAAAGCGUGGGGAGCAAACAGGAUUAGAUACCCUGGUAGUCCACGCCCUAAACGGUGAUCACUGGGUGUUCGGGGAGCGAUCUCUGGGUACCGUAGCUAACGCGUGAAGUGAUCCGCCUGGGGAGUACGGUCGCAAGAUUAAAACUCAAAGGAAUUGACGGGGACCCGCACAAGCGGUGGAUGAUGUGGAUUAAUUCGAUGCAACGCGAACAACCUUACCUACCC
RNAcentral lists this ribosomal RNA (672 nucleotides) under uncultured bacterium. RNAcentral's name for it is "bacterial SSU rRNA". It matches the Rfam family "Bacterial small subunit ribosomal RNA", at positions 302 to 980 of the family's 1533-position model. The record is from RNAcentral.